This is a long non-coding RNA of Equus caballus (horse), 7975 nucleotides long. NCBI's taxonomy places the organism in Eukaryota, Metazoa, Chordata, Mammalia, Perissodactyla, Equidae. The record is from Ensembl.
GACCAGGAAACGAACCCUGGCCAUGGUGAUGAGAGCAUGGAAUCUUAACCACUAGACCAUCAGGGCUGGCUGCUGGAUCCACACUGAACAUUUAACACAGAGUUUCCUGAAAUGUGCUCAUCAUUGGUGACAUGCAAGAUGAACUGAGUGUUAAGCAAACAUCUGAAAUUUUCAUCAGGUUCCCCUAGGUGUACCGCAUAAGAGAAGACCUGGGACAGGAUGCAAGAGGUGUGUGAUGAGGGCGCAGGUAAGACACUAUCGGAUUACACCCAUGGACGCUGGACCAAGACGACAGGGAACUCAAUGGCACAGCAGCGGCUGCAGUGGGAGACGAGGCUGAGAGGAAGUGAAGUGGUGCGUGACAGGUAUCCAGUACGCAUGCUGAGAAUGUUUUGGUACUGCAGACCCAGAGCAGGAAACAGUUUUCUAAUAACAUGCCUCUUCUUGUAGCAGAGGUUUCAGCCUGAACCCAGGCCUAUUCUUCUGUUGGAGUUUAUGUCCAGGCAUGUUUGGCAAAUUCAUGGAGCUGACCUGAGGGAGAGUUCUUUGUUCUUUUCCUUUAGGAAGGGGAAAGGGAUUUUUUUUUGAAGAGGAAGUGAGGCUUUCUUUCUUGUUUAAAAAAAUUAUUUUAUUGAGCUCAUAAUGGUUUAUAACAUUGUAAAAUUUCAUUUGUACAUUACUAUUUGUCGAUCUCCAUUUAUAUGUGCCCCUUUACCCCUUCUGGCCCCAUCCUCUUUCCCUCUGGUAACCACUAAUCUGUUCUUUUGUCCAUGUGUUUGUUUUUCUUCCACAUACAAAUGAAAGCAUAUGGUUUUUGUCUUUCUCUGUCUGGCUUAUUUUGCUUAACGUCAUAUCCUCAAGGUCCACCCAUGCUGUUGCAAAUGGGACAAUUUUGUCUUUUUUAUGCCUGAGUAGUAUUCCAUUGUAUAUAUACACCACAUCUUCUUUAUCCAUUCAUCAGCCAGUGGGCACUGGAUUGCUUCCAUAUCUUGGCUAUUGUGAAUAAUGCUGCAAUGAACACAGGGGUGCAUAAAUCUCUUUGAGUUGUUGAUUUCAAGUUCUUUGGAUAAUUACCCACUAGUGGGAUAGCUGGGUCAUAUGGUAUUUCUAUUUUUAGUUUUUUGAGGAACCUCCAUACUGUUGUCCAUAGUGGCUGCACCAGUUUGCAUUCCCACCAGCAGUGUAUGAGAGUUCGGGGAAAGGGAUUUUUAUGUAUAAGACCCUAAAGAGAGAUAUGAGAGAGAUGGAGGGAGCCAGUUGGUAGCUACCCCAUGACAAGGUCUGAACUCUAUGGAAAAACGGGCCUGGGCAGAAAGGGUGGGAUCUGGUUUAUGAGGGAUUCAGUACCUUGAUACCCAGCAGUACAAGCUCUUUAAAGGCCUUUAUGGGAAAGUGCAAUGUAGUCGGGGAGUCGGACAUUCUUCCCGCUUCUGCAUGGUUCCACAGGGAAGAUCAAAUGUUUAUAAAGCAAUAAACAGAGUUUGGGUGCUUCCAAGAAUGCCAUUCCAUGUGGCCUGAUUACCCUGUAUAUUUAGAGAGUGAGGAAGUUAUUUUAGGGACGUUAGUAGCUGUCAACAUUAGGGAUUGGCCAGUGGGGGGGUGGGACUGAGUCUGAACCAGCCUCCAGAGACAGCACAGGGGUGGUCCAACCAGGAGGCAAUAGGAAGAAGGCUUGGCAGGGGGUCAGAGUUCAGUAUCCGGCUGGAGAUAGUCUACUACUGGUAGCUAUUCAAUGAAAGAGUGGACAUCGAGUCAUGGGAAUUUGGUACAGGGAUUAUACCAAGAGAGGAAAUAGUAACAUUCCAGGUAAAGAGGAAAGAGCAUACAGAGUAGGAAUCCAAGAUGUAGCUCAGGAAGGCACAGGGAGGAGCCAAAUAGAAUCCAGAAUGGAUGUAAUUAUAAGGUAAUGAGGGCUGAAUCCAGUUACUGGAAAGAACGAGCCUUGAGAGUAACUAGCCGAAGGCUGCAUUUAGUUCCUCUUCCUAGGACAUGUCUGGCAGCUCAGAGGGAGGUGAAGAGGCUGUUUACUAGCUAAACAGGCAGGUGGGUGGCAGGGGCAGCGAGUCAGGCAGGUCUUCACUGUUGAAUUACCAAUAAUCUCCGAGUGUCUGAAUCCACCAACAAGCAAGCAGGGCCCAAAUGGAGAAAGCCUGUUUGCAACAGCCCUUAUAAGAGACUUCUGUUGUUCUUGUCUGUCUAGCACCUCUUCUCCUUCUGCUGCCAACGGAACUACUUUUUAGUGGGGAACCCCCAACUUCCGAGAGUAGUGAGCGUGUGACCUGAGCCCAGUCAAUCAGAGUGCUCCAUUUCCUUGGUUUGAGGAUGGGCGGGAAACCUAGAAAGGCCAAUCAGAUUCUUCCUUGAGAUUUGAUAUUUCAGUGAGUAGUUGGGGGGAGCAGAGCUCUCUCUCAAUCUUGGGAUCACAAGCUGUAAAGACGAUGUAGACUGGAGUUGCUUUGUGUCACCCUUCCUGGAUGCAUGGGGAAAGCCAUCUGCAGUAAGAGAGAAUGAGCCCAAUAUUAAGAGAGAAUCAGAAAUGAAGAGGGAUGAGAGAUAGGGUCCUAAGGACAUUUCUUGGGCACUAAAUCCAGUCACAGCCAUCCCUGCUCUUUUGUGAGCCAAUAAGUUCUCUUUUACUUAAGCCAGUUUCAAGCCAAUUUCACUUGGGGUUCUGUCACUUGCCACGUAAGGAAAUCAGACUAAUAUGUUUGCUUACUUACUGGUUCGUAGCAAUACGUAUCCGUUGCCUCCAUCCACAGCGAGCCUGAAAUUUAUGUUUGGACUGAAAAUACUUGCUCAAGUCUGACCUCCAUUGCUCUUCAUGAGAACACACUGACCACCUGGGCGAGCCUACGGCCAGUGCCGCUGUCUGGCAAAAUCUCGGUGAGAUCAGAUCUGUGUCACUGCCCAGCCCUGCUUUUGACAUCUGCCUGUGCUUAUGAGCUCCCUGCUCCCUCUUUCCCCGUGAUCCUCUCCGACUGUGGAUAAAAUCCUCAGUCCUUUCCACUUUGACUCUUCCUUUUUGCCAGUAAGUUUCAAACCUACAACUCAAAUCCUGACCUUUCUCCUGAAACCAGAUACCUGUUUUUAAUUUCUAUUUCCAGGUUCAAUGAUCAGCUCACACUCAACAAGUCCGAAACAGAACUCAUCAGUCUCCUGGUACUGUUGAUGGCACUACCAUUGUGCCAGUCAUCUGCCCUUGACAAUCUCCACAUUAUUUGGGCUGCCCUUCUUUCCCUCAUCCUCCAUGUACACUGAGUCAUGGAGCAAAAUCCCUUUCCUUCAUAAUGUCUGCGUGUGCCAGAAGCUGCGUGAGCUUCUGAAGGUACAACAAAAAUCAAGAUGUGAUCCCUGACUUGAAGAGCUUGGAUCCUACCAGAGGAACAAUCCAAGGCAGAAAGUGCUGAGUGCCACAUCAGCGGCAGCAGAGAAAGGACUAAGGGAGCCUGGUAGAGACAGCUUCAUGUCUGCUAUUGGGGAUCAGGGAAGAGUCGUGGUAGAACAGCCACAGUGCAUCAUGAGAAAAGAGACCCAGGAGAGCAACUGACUGAAGUGCUCUUGGAAUGACGACUUCAGUUUGCUGGUGCAUUGGGUCAAAGCACCGGGGAAACAUGGUUGAGGUCGGCACUGUGGAUGAGGCAUACAAAAGCCAGUUACAGCUCCAUUCUGUCUUGCUUUCCCAUAUAAUGGAGCUAGAAAACUGAAAUACCUGGUUCCCCAGCUCCUCUUGCAACUAUGCAUGACCAAUUUCUGGCCAGAGAGAGUAAAGAGAGGGCAACCCAGUGAAAGUCAUGGGAAAGUGUUUGAAAAGUGAAUAGGCUGUGCUGGCAUGCCCACCUUGGGCUUCCUCCCUCUCCCUUCUUCUUCCUAGUUAGGAACACACAUGCUUACUUGUGGGUAAAGCAGCCAUCUUGGCAACAUGAGACCUCCCCAAAAUAAGGAUAUGUUUGUAGGAUGACAGAGGAGAAAGAGAGAAAGAUCUUGCUUUCUCAGAUGACAUCAUCUGGCUGCUGUGAAGCCCUAGACUGUUUUCCCCACAUGCCUUAUGCAUGAAAAAAAAAAUCCCUAUUUAAGUAAAAAUCACUGUUAGUCAGAUUUUCUAUAACUUGCAGCUGAAUAAGAUGCUAACCUAUAAAGCCAUAUGUUAGAAAUACUGAGUACUAUUCUAGAUAAAUUGAAGUUUAUUCUAUAAGCAAGGAAGUUGCAGACAGCUCUUCACAUAGAGGUUAGGGGGAUGCUAUUAUCAGAAAAUUCUCUCCUUUUGCUGUUCACUGUCCAUGCCCUUCACGCUCAGUUUAGUGUCCACCUAUUCAUGGCAGCUUCUGUCUCUUGUCUUGGUCACCUUUAUCCUCACUCUCUGCUGGGCUAUUAUCAAGUAUAGCUUACUGACAUGUAUUGUUACUGAUUCUUCAUGAGUUUAUGUUAUGUAUUCCCAAUAGGACUGUAAUAGUGGUCAUGUUUUAUACUUCCUCUCUCUCUGUCUCUCUCGGUGCCCGGGCUGGAGAGAAGAACACAGUGGUUCCAUGCUCAGAUGGGAGGUCGUCUAGCUUCCUAAGCCGGCACAAAGCAAUAAUAUUCCCGGGAAGAGAGACACUUGUUCUGAGGGCUCAAGUCAUCCUCUGGAGUCAUUGGCCAUUUCCUGCAGGCUGGGGAGGUGGUGACAGCCACGCAAAUGGUGGAGAUCAUCUUGAGUUUACCACUGGUCCAAGUCCAUGGAGUUGGGUUACUUGGAUAUGGGCACCCCCAUAUGUCUAACGCCUUCCAAGAUAUUAAGUGUCAUGUAAACGCAGCACUUCCCCUUCUGCCCAUGAGUGUCUGUUGUCACCUGUCAGAAGGCAAUGCCAUAGGCUGUUUAUUUGAUGUGGAGACAAGAUACCACAUCUUCCUGGAGCCUUUCAACUUCUUAUGUCGUGAUCCUGGACAGCAGCGGUGCUGCAAUAUCUGGAACUACCAAAGAACAUUAAUGGAAGAAUGAGGGAUUGUUGGGGACAUGACCUCAUAGGAUGGGUCUUGCACAUUUGGGUACAGCAGAGAUGUUUAAAGAUUUGGGAUCUAGAGGUACAAAUUGUCUUUCCAUGGUCAGAGAAAGGUCCUGGAGCUGGAUAGAACCUGACGGUCUGGUCUUCCCUACCAAAUUCUGCUGUGUGUAUGGGAAUGGCUACCCUUUAUGCUAGAGCCUGCCCCAAGGCUGGGUCAGCUCUACUUUAAAAACCAACUUGAAAUGGUGGAUGCUUGACAGACACUAUUAUCCCCACUCCAACGAUGAGAACACUGAGGUCAAGGAUUUGGCUCAAGGUCAUCCCGCAAGGUCUUGUUGGAGGCAGAAAUAGCAUCUGAGCCUUCACUCCUAAUCCAGCUCUCAUUGCUUGUUGCGGUGUGCCAUGGCUGAAGUUACACGAUGAGGCAUCUAUCUAAACCAGAGAGCCAAGUUCUGGGUUCAUGUUACGUCUUUCUAUUCCUUCACUUGGCCUCCCACUGCUGGCUCAGAGCAGUUCCUUGCUCUGAUCUAUUGGUUUUUUCUUAGGCUGGAGAGAGUUACCACACUUCCUGAUCCUGACCUCCAGUGGAGGAGGGUGGAACCUAACGACAUCAUUUGGAUCAUACUUGACUCCAGCGAUUGCUCCAAACUUGAAGAGCAGCGAGUGGAGUCUUCGUCUUUUAACCCUAUCAAGUGACCUGGUCUUUAAUGCGUGAUUGGCAAUAAUGGAGGAGAUUCAGACAACCAUCCCCUGUCACAGCUUCCUGCUGGAGAGGCAGCAAGAAGCUAGGACUUAAACUCUGAGGGCAGAGUAUCCUGGAUUCACACCCCGACUCUGUUGUUUCCUGGUUGUGUGGCCUUCGGCAAGUCCCUGAACAUCGCGGUAGCUCAAUUUCCUGGUUUGUAAGAUGGGUGAAAAGAAUUCCUUAGGAUGAGGUAAUCUGGGCAAAGUUCCUGUCAUGUAAGAGAUAUUCAGGAAAUAUUGGUUUCUUCACUCCUCCCCACCCCACACACGUGUUGAAUACAGUAACUUUAUUUUCACCACCACCUUACAAGAAACAAUGGCACGCCUAGGUAAGCUGAGUGACUCAAGAGCUAGCAAAAACUAAGUCUUUGGAGUUAGCUACGUUGCAUGCCAAGUGUAAAUUUCCCAUUAAUGGGCUUUAAGUAUAUUAAUGGGAGAAUUUUUGUGCUCCUUGGAUGGAAAAAAAAUACAACAUUUUGUGCCUCUGGUAUCUGAGAGGAAGCCCUGAGACAGAUGGGUUCCCAUAAGUUGUGCAUCGUGAAUGCAAGGAAACUUCAUUCUUCUUACACUACCAGGCAGUCGAUCCAAAAUGGGGAAAAACUCUUUACAUGAAAGCAUGCAAUUACAUGCCAUACCCUGCAAUUCUAAUUACUGAUGACUUAAAUUGAAGCACAGCCUUUUACAUAGGAGUUUUAUGAUCAAGAAUUAAGAAAUUUAAAAAUAUUAUGGGGCCGGUUGAUGGCGCAGCAGUUAAGUUUGCACAUUCCACUUUGAUGGCCCCAGGGUUCACCAGUUCAGAUCCCGGGUGGGGACACGGCACUGCUUGGCAAGCCAUGCUGUGGCAGGCGUCCCACAUAUAAAGUAGAGGAAGAUGGACAUGGAUGUUUGCUCAGGGCCAGUCUUCCUCAGCAAAAAGAGGAGGAUUGGCAGCAGGGCUCAUCUUCCUCAAAAAAAAAAAAAUAAAUAAAUAAAAAAUAAGCCCCUAGAUAGACUCUUACCUUUAAAUGUAAUCAGUUUGGAAUGAUGACUUCAAUACUUUGUUUUUGGUGAGGAAGAUUGUCCCUGAGCUAACAUCUUUGCCAGUCUUCCUCUAUUUUGUAUAUGGGAUGCUGCCACAGCAUGGCUCGACGAGUGGUGCUAGGUCCAUGCCCGGGAUCCAGAACCAUGAACCCCGGGCCAGUAGGGCGGAGAGUACAAACUUAACCACUACAUCAUCAGGCUGGACCCCUAGAUACUUUCUUAAAAUUUUGCAUCAGUACAUUCUACUACAAUUCUCCUCUUUUGUUUUUCCUCCCCAAGCAAAAAGCAGGUCUGCCCUACUCACUUUACGGUCUUCUAUAAAUUUAAUUAAAAUCUCCCUGUUUGUAACACACUUAGACUGGCAGUGGGCAAGAGGGACAGGUACAAAGCUUUGUGACAUAAUCUUGUCCUCACAGAGCUUACACUCUGGUCAGUUCUUAGAUGGGUAAUUGCCCAAAUUAACCAGGCCAGAGCAACUGAGGAAAAGUAGGGUGUUCCCUCUCUGUCUCUCUCUUUCUGAAUGAAGAAGCCAAUUAAUGUUCACCCUAAAAUUGAAUCCUGGAUUGUUGUAAAUAACUAGACUUUUCUCCCCAAAUCAGAAAAGAAAUAAAAGUGUCAAUCAUCAUUAUUUUUGAAGUUGUAUAUUAGGUAAAAGUUGCUUAAACUCUAAAUAAUCAUUAAACAUAUAUUUCAAGGAGAAAACAUAAUAGAUUUUCAUUUUUAUAUCUACUGGAAAAGCAGGGCUGCCUUUUUGGGCUAUGACAUUCCAAAUUCUCAUUUAUAUACGGGUAGGCACAAUGCCCUUCUGGUUCUGGAUGUGGAAGGUGACAUUGGAGCCAUCAAGUAUGUUGAUGGAUAUAUUAAACAUCAUCUGGCUAUAUACAAGUAACAGAUAUUCCUUCCAGCCAUACUACUCAUAUAUUAACAAAAUAUUUCCUAAGAGAGAGGAAGAAGAUGUUCCCAAUGUGCUGUCAAUUUGAUAUGAACUUCAAGUUGUAUUUCUUUUAUUUGUUUACUUAUUCACUCAUUUAGUCAUUCACCCAAGAUGUGUGUAAUGCCCAAUGUGCCAAGCCCUAUACCACAUGUUGAGUAUCAGAGACGAAUGUGAUACUGUAGCCGUACUAUAUGAACUAACAGUUUAAACAACAAUUCUUGCCUUGUGGUCCGCAGAUUCCCCCAAUGGGUCUGAAGUUGGGCCUUAGGGCAUCAAAAAAUCCCUUGAAAUUAAAUGG